GAUGAACGCUGGCGGCGUGCUUAACACAUGCAAGUCGAGCGAACGGACGAGAAGUUUGCUUCUUUGAUGUUAGCGGCGGACGGGUGUGUAACACGUGGAUAACCUACCUAUCUGACUGGGAUAACUUCGGGAAACCGGAGCUAACACCGGAUGAUAUUUUGAACCGCAUGGUUCAAAAGUGAAAGACGGUCUUGCUGUCACUUAUAGAUGGAUCCGCGCUGCAUUAGCUAGUUGGUGAGGUAACGGCGUACCAAGGCAACGAUGCAUAGCCGACCUGAGAGGGGGAUCGGCCACACGAGAGCGGAGACACGGACCAGGCUCCUGCGAGAGGCAACAGUAGGGAAUCUUCCGCAAUGGGCGAAAGCCUGACAGAGCGACGCCGCGUGAGUGAUGGAGGUCUUCGGAUCGUAAAACUCUGUUAUGAGGGAAGAACAUAUGUGUAAGGAACUGUGCACAUCUUGACGGUACCUAAACAGAAAGCCACGGCUAACUACGUG
This 497-nucleotide ribosomal RNA is filed under the name uncultured bacterium. RNAcentral describes it as "partial 16S ribosomal RNA". It matches the Rfam family "Bacterial small subunit ribosomal RNA", at positions 28 to 507 of the family's 1533-position model. The record is from RNAcentral.